Molecule: long non-coding RNA, 1686 nt
Filed under: Neodiprion lecontei (redheaded pine sawfly)
Lineage: Eukaryota; Metazoa; Arthropoda; Insecta; Hymenoptera; Diprionidae
Description: uncharacterized LOC124293560, transcript variant X1
Source: RNAcentral
GACUGGCAGUCAGCGUCGCGACGCCCACGAGCAAGCAGCUUGCGGCAAUUCGACGUCAGGUUAAGCAACACGUGGUUUUGCUCGAGUAGAACGUGGCGGAUACGAGAGUAAUUUUUGGGUUUUUCGAUCGGUCCUUUUUUUAAUUCUGGUCAAAAUGCUAAACACGAAAAAGUCCUCGUAACGCGCGAACGAUUUCGGAAAAACCGCGUAUAUUAUACGUUAUUCUUCUACGAUGUGGAACAAAUUGUGUCACAGAAGUAGAAGACGAAAAUUGGUAAAAUUACGCGAAAGGAGAUCGGCUUGAGUGACUUUCGCGUGACGUGUUUGCAGACGAGGAGAUAAAUAGUCAAUGCGAUUUUACUUCUUGGCUAUUGCCAUCAUCGGUAACAGCAGCAGCAGCAGCGACGGGAAUUUCCCAUCAGUGAAAUUUACUGCGCUGCAUUUAAAUUCCCAUCCAACUACGUGCAUCUCACUCUGUGAAUACCUUUGCGUUUUGAACGAGAACAAAAGUAUCAAAACAUCUCUGAAUCGAACAAAUAGAUUGAUUUUCUACUGUGCAAAACUUGGCUCCAGAUUUACAGAACACCUACUUCCCUAUUAUUCUCCAGUGAAUCUAAUUUAAAGUUUCUCAACUGUGAGAUGUAUUCGUUUGCCAAUGCAGUUUGAAGAAAUCGAGAUGCAACCCGUUUGUGUGUUGUAGAAUACAGAGGUGAAAAGAGAAGGAAAAGAAAGCAAAAACUCGAGCCGAAGGUUGAGAUCGAUUUUAACCAUGUGUAAGUGAAAUGAAAAGCCGGUGAAUAAAAAAAAAAAGGGGAGAUUCGAAUCGGCGAGGCACGCGCGAUAAUGAUAAACAUUCAGUUUGCCGAGCGUAAACCUGUUGAAGAAGAAGUGAGCACGUCGAUGCGCUUCGAGAAGACAAGGGGUCGAGGCGGUUGACGAGGGUAGGCGGAAAGAGAAGGCUUCGAUAAGAAGAGGGCAAAGACGAUCGGAGAUAAAGAAAUAACAACGAUGUCGUGCGAGAAGGCGUCGCGACGCCUCAGAUCCUUAAUAGUUAAGGCGAGGAGACUCGGGGUGACGGCUGAGGAAGUCGCCGCUUUACCUACGGCCAGGAAACUCGCUGCGCCAAAGACGGCGAACUUCUGGUCCGUCGGCUUCGCUCUGAUCACGCUACUCGGUGCCGGCAUCCUCCUUAUCCUUAUCUGCGCCCCUUGCCUCGCGAAGAGGGCGGCGCGCGACGUUCGAGUGUUUCCUUAAUAAACGCCACCCUCGAACCCCGCGCCCUCAACCAGAAGGAGAACUUUGACAAGGUUAGACCGCGCAGAUUUGCCGCAGCUCGAAUUUACAAGGGAAGGUUUUGACAGCCUGAAGGCGUACAGUUCCAAAUCCGAGGAUUAUAAUGGAUUGAAAAUUAAUUAAGUGGACCCGUGACAUUUGAUUUAAGGAAUUAUUUACUCUUGUACUAUACUGACUAAGAAAAUUAUAAUGGGAUUAUAAAUUUAUGGGCUGUGCAAAGCCGGUAUGCAAGUUUAUAAUUUAAUUGAAAAAUGUUUAGUACUUUUCGCUUUUCUUCUGCUAUUGUUAUUAUUAUGAGUAUUAUCACCACUAUCGUUAUCAUGUAAAAAAAAAAGGAACUGUAAUAAAGACUGUAUGUACGUACGUAACAUAUGUAGAAAACGUAAAAUUUAA